This is a non-coding RNA of Kogia breviceps (pygmy sperm whale), 2298 nucleotides long. NCBI's taxonomy places the organism in Eukaryota, Metazoa, Chordata, Mammalia, Artiodactyla, Physeteridae. The record is from RefSeq and is a predicted model, not a curated record.
AAAAAAUCGAGCUGGGGGGUUCCCUGGUCCCUGGCGAUGGGGCGGGGAGCGCGGCGCCAGGGGAGGGGGCGGGCGCGGCAGCGCGGGCCCCGCCGAGAGGGGACACCUGGCUGAGGCACAGCUGCUGCCCGCCGCGCCGCGCCGCUCCGCGCGAACCCAGGGCUCCGGUCCCUGCGUGGACUCGAGAGCUCGCCCCGACCGGGGGUCUUCCUCCUCCGCCGUUGACAGGUGAAUAACAACAAAAUGAAGACCAUAAUAAAACAAGCCUGCUACUUAGCCCUGCAAUUCUUACCUUAGAGAGAAGAAAUUUCAUUCCAACAUCUGAGUAUGUGGAAACUGUUUUAAGAGUAAACUUCCUUACUUGGUGAAGAGUGGGGACGGGAAGAGACUAGGAAGAUCAAGAGCCACAGGGUUCCUGUUUUAUUUCUCAUCUCUGGUCUUACCUACUUGAUGAAGAUGUCAUUUGAAUGGUGUACUGCAAGGAAUUAAAUGCUGUUUGUAAAUUAUGCUUUUACCAAGGUGGAUAUUACUAUCCCUUAUUCAUGGAAAAAGUUGUAUUCUAAGUGUUGUUUCCCAUUGAGUAUUAGCAAAAAGGAGAAAAAUUAAUGUCCUAAACUUUUGAGAUAGAUUUGGCUCUAGUAAGUAUCUAGACCUAUUAUUAAUAGGGUUGGCCAAAAAGUUCAUUCAGUUUUUUUCCAUAAGAUGGCUCUAGUAGUGAGCGCUUAGUUGUCUUUAACUUCAUUUGAAACAGUUUUGUUAGGUUGUAUUGUGACAGCUGUCAUAUUAGUGCAUUUUUAAAAAAAUAUCAAAAUUGGUGAAUUUUUGUGUAGCCAUUUUAGUAUUGAAGAUGGAAGAAAAAAGCAACAUUUUUGGCAUAUUAUGCUUUAUUAUUUCAAGAAAGGUAAAAACACAACUGAAACGCAAAAAAAGAUUCGUGCAUUGUGUGGAGAAGGUGCUGUGACUGAUAGAACGUGUCAAAAGGUGGUUUGCGAAGUUUUGUGCUGGAGAUUUCUUGCUGGACAAUGCUCCACGGUUGGGUAGACCAAUUGAAGUUGAUAGGGAUCAAAUCAAGACAUUAAUUGAGAACAACCAACGUUAACCACGUGGGAGAUAGCGGACAUACUCAAAAUAUCCAAAUCAAGCUUUGAAAAUCAUUUGCAGCAGCUUGGUUAUGUUAAUCAAUUUGAUGCUUGGGUUCCACAUAAGUUAAGCGAAAAAAACCUUCCUGACCAUAUUUCUGCAUGUGAUUCUCUACUUAAACGUAAUGAAAACAUUCCGUUUUUAAAACAAAUUGUGACGAGCAAUGAAAAGUGGAUACUGUACAAUAAUGUGGAACAGAAGAGAUCGUGGGGCAAGUGAAAUGAACCACCACCAACCACACCAAAGUCCGGUCUUCAUCCAAAGAAGGUGACGUUGUGUAUUUGGUGGAAUUGGAAAGGAGUCCCCUCUUAUGAACUCCUUCCAGAAAAUCAAACAAUUAAUUCCAAGAAGUACUGCUCCCAAUUAGACCUACAUCAGCACUCGAUGAAAAGCAUCCAGAAUUAGUCAAUAGAAAACAGGUAAUCUGGGACUUCCCUGGCUGUCCAGUGGUUAAGACUCCAUGCUUCCAUUGCAGGGGGUGCAGGUCUGAUCCCUGGCCUGGGAACUAAGAUACCACAUGCCAUGCAACGCGGCCAAAAAUAAAUGAAUAAAUUUAAAAAUCAAAAAGAAGGAAAACACAUAAUCUUCCAUCAGGAUACCACAAGACUGCAUGUUUCUUUGACGACUAGGCAAAAACUGUUACAGCUUGGCUAGGAAGUUCUGAUUCAUCCACCAUAUUCACCAGACAUAGCACCUUCGGAUUUCCAUUUAUUUCGGUCUUUACAAAAUUCUCUCAAUGGAAAAAAUUUCAAUUCCCUGCAAGACUAUAAAAGGCACCUAGAAUAGUUCUUUGCUCAAAAAGAUAAAAAAUUUUGGGAAGAAGGAAUUAUGAAGUUGCCUGAAAAAUGGCAGAAGGUAGUAGAACAAAAGGGCGAAUACGUUGUUCAAUAAAGUUCUUGGUGAAAAUGAAAAAUGUGUCUUUUAUUUUUACUUAAAACCCAAAGGAAUUUUUUGGCCAACCCAAUACUUAACAUGUCUGGGAGAAGAAAUAAGUGACCAUCAUCAGUACAUUUCCAGCUAAAAUUUUUUUAUUUUCUUACCUCUUAUCAAGGGAUUUCCUAAAAUUUCUGUUUUAUUACUAAUAGCUUGAGCCCCUUUAAUGGAGAAUUAAUUUCUCCAGCAGAAUUUAAGAGUUUAUGUUCUUACCUUGUUUAUUUA